Molecule: ribosomal RNA, 301 nt
Filed under: uncultured bacterium
Lineage: Bacteria
Description: partial 16S ribosomal RNA
Rfam family: Bacterial small subunit ribosomal RNA
Source: RNAcentral
CAGUAGCCGCGGUAAUACGUAGGGUGCAAGCGUUAAUCGGAAUUACUGGGCGUAAAGCGUGCGCAGGCGGUUUGUUAAGACAGAUGUGAAAUCCCCGGGCUCAACCUGGGAACUGCGUUUGUGACUGGCAGGCUAGAGUGUGGCAGAGGGGGGUGGAAUUCCGCGUGUAGCAGUGAAAUGCGUAGAUAUGCGGAGGAACACCGAUGGCGAAGGCAGCCCCCUGGGCCAACACUGACGCUCAUGCACGAAAGCGUGGGGAGCAAACAGGAUUAGAUACCCGUGUAGUCCCUGUCUCUUAUAC